RNAcentral lists this ribosomal RNA (831 nucleotides) under Triticum aestivum (bread wheat). RNAcentral's name for it is "partial small subunit ribosomal RNA". The record is from RNAcentral. Lineage: Eukaryota; Viridiplantae; Streptophyta; Magnoliopsida; Poales; Poaceae.
AUGGCUGCGAGCACGAAGAAGCUCCGUCCGCUCCUGCUCACCCUCCUCCUGCUCCUCACCACCGCCGUCGCGGCGUCCACCAUCGACUGCGACUGCGACAAGCCGAAGGCCCCCAAGCCCUCCCACCCGCCCAAGACCAAGCCCCCCACCAAGGGCCCCAAGCCGGGACCCAAGGGCCCCACCUACCCGUCGCCGGCGCCCAAGGGCCACCUCCCGCACCCGCCGGUCGUCGGCCCGCCGAAGGGUCACGUCCCUCGCCCACCGGUCGUCGGCCCUCCGAAGGGCCACGUCCCCCGCCCGCCGGUCUACGGUCCGCCCAAGGGCCCCAUCACGCGCCCGCCGGUCACAGCUCCUCCCGUCGUCGUCGGGCCGCCGGUGACCUACCCCACGCCGCCAGUCACCUACCCCGCGCCACCAGUGACCGCCCCUCCAGUCACCUACCCGGCGCCACCAGUGACCACCCCUCCGGUCACCUACCCCGCGCCGCCGGUGACCAACCCCCCGGUCACGUACCCGUCGCCUCCGGUGAACACGCCGUGCCCUCCUCCACCGCCGGCGACGCCCGCGGCGCAGACGUGCCCGGUGGACUCGCUGAAGAUCGGGGCGUGCGUGGACCUGCUGGGCGGGCUGGUGCACGUGGGCCUCGGCGACCCGGUGGUGAACAAGUGCUGCCCGCUGCUGGAGGGGCUGGUGGAGCUGGAGGCGGCGGUGUGCCUGUGCACCACCAUCCGGCUGAAGCUCCUCAACAUCAACCUCGUCCUCCCCCUCGCCCUCCAGCUCCUCCUCACCUGCGGCAAGACCCCUCCCACCGGCUACACCUGCUCCAUCUAG